This 452-nucleotide long non-coding RNA is filed under the name Sus scrofa (pig). Its description in RNAcentral is "lncRNA (ENSSSCG00060061426.1)". Lineage: Eukaryota; Metazoa; Chordata; Mammalia; Artiodactyla; Suidae. The record is from RNAcentral.
UCCCUGUCCUCGCUCAGUGGGUUAAGGAGCCCACGUUGCUGUGGCUGUGGUGCAGGCCAACAGCUGUAGCUCCGAUUAGACCCCUAGCCUGGGAACCUCCAUAUACCUCAAGUGUGGCCCUAAAAAGCAAAAAAAAAAAAAAAAGUAAAGAAAACAAAAGCAGAGAGAGAACAGAGGGAGUAGACAUGGGUUUACCAUGUGUGGAGCAAAGACUCAUCACUCUGCUUCCCUACUGCACAUGCGUGUCGCUCUCUGCUUCCCUGUGGACAUGCGUGUCGCUCUCUGCUUCCCUAUGGACAUGCGUGUCACUGCUUCCCUAUGGACAUGCGUGUCUCUCUCUGCUUCCCUAUGGACAUGCGUGUCGCUCUCUGCUUCCUUACUGGACAUGCGUGUCACUCUCUGCUUCCCUAUGGACAUGCGUGUCACUCUCUGCUUCCCUAUGGACAUGCGUG